UACGUAGGGUGCGAGCGUUAAUCGGAAUUACUGGGCGUAAAGCGUGCGCAGGCGGUUCGUUAUGUCCGAUGUGAAAGCCCUGAGCUUAACUUGGGAAUGGCAUUGGAAACUGGCGGGCUGGAGUGCGGCAGAGGGGGGUGGAAUUCCACGUGUAGCAGUGAAAUGCGUAGAGAUGUGGAGGAACACCGAUGGCGAAGGCAGCCCCCUGGGCCGACACUGACGCUCAGGCACGAAAGCGUGGGGAGCAAACAGG
RNAcentral lists this ribosomal RNA (253 nucleotides) under uncultured bacterium. RNAcentral describes it as "partial 16S ribosomal RNA". It matches the Rfam family "Bacterial small subunit ribosomal RNA", at positions 524 to 776 of the family's 1533-position model. The record is from RNAcentral.